GAUGAACGCUGGCGGCGUGCUUAACACAUGCAAGUCGAACGGGAUCCAAGGGUGCUUGCAUCCUUGGUGAGAGUGGCGAACGGGUGAGUAACACGUGAGUAACCUGUCCUUUUCUUUGGGAUAAGCUCCUGAAAGGGUGUUUAAUACCUUAUGUUCUGUCUGCCUCGCAUGGGGUGGGUGGGAAAGAUUUUUUCGGUGAAGGGUGGGCUCGCGGUCUAUCAGCUUGUUGGUGGGGUGAUGGCUUACCAAGGCUUUGACGGGUAGCCGGCCUGAGAGGGUGGUCGGUCACAUUGGGACUGAGAUACGGCCCAGACUCCUGCGGGAGCAGCAGUGGGGAUAUUGCACAAUGGGCGCAAGCCUGAUGCAGCGACGCCGCGUGGGGGAUGAAGGCCUUCGGGUUGUAACUUCUUUGGC
This 414-nucleotide ribosomal RNA is filed under the name uncultured bacterium. RNAcentral's name for it is "bacterial SSU rRNA". It matches the Rfam family "Bacterial small subunit ribosomal RNA", at positions 28 to 439 of the family's 1533-position model. The record is from RNAcentral.